This 433-nucleotide ribosomal RNA is filed under the name uncultured bacterium. Its description in RNAcentral is "partial 16S ribosomal RNA". It matches the Rfam family "Bacterial small subunit ribosomal RNA", at positions 29 to 507 of the family's 1533-position model. The record is from RNAcentral.
AACGAACGCUGGCGGCAUGCCUAAUACAUGCAAGUCGAACGAGACCUUCGGGUCUUGUGUCCCACGGGUUCGUAACGCGUGGGAACCUGCCCUUAGGUUCGGAAUAACUCCCCGAAAGGGGUGCUAAUACCGGAUAAUGUCUUCUGACCAAAGAUUUAUCGCCUUUGGAUGGGCCCGCGUUGGAUUAGCUAGUUGGUAGGGUAAAAGCCUACCAAGGCGACGAUCCAUAGCUGUUCUCAGAGGAUGAUCAGCCACACUGGGACUGAGACACGGCCCAGACUCCUACGGGAGGCAGCAGUGGGGAAUAUUGGACCAUGGGCGAAAGCCUGAUCCAGCAAUGCCGCGUGAAUGAUGAAGGCCUUAGGGUUGUAAAGCUCUUUUACCCGGGAUGAUAAUGACAGUACCGGGAGAAUAAGCUCCGGCUAACUCCGUG